RNAcentral lists this ribosomal RNA (507 nucleotides) under Glomus sp. Glo4. RNAcentral describes it as "SSU rRNA". It matches the Rfam family "Eukaryotic small subunit ribosomal RNA", at positions 569 to 1078 of the family's 1831-position model. The record is from RNAcentral. Lineage: Eukaryota; Fungi; Glomeromycota; Glomeromycetes; Glomerales; Glomeraceae.
AGCAGCCGCGGUAAUUCCAGCUCCAAUAGCGUAUAUUAAAGUUGUUGCAGUUAAAAAGCUCGUAGUUGAAUUUCGGGAUCGAAUUGUUGGUCGUGCUUCGGUACGCACUGGCAUUAUCGGUUUCUACCUUCUGAAGAACCGCGAUGUCAUUAAUUUGGUGUCGUGGGGAAUCAGGACUGUUACUUUGAAAAAAUUAGAGUGUUUAAAGCAGGCUUACGCUUGAAUACAUUAGCAUGGAAUAAUGAAAUAGGACGUUUGAUUCUAUUUUGUUGGUUUCUAGGAUCGACGUAAUGAUUAAUAGGGAUAGUUGGGGGCAUUAGUAUUCAAUUGUCAGAGGUGAAAUUCUUGGAUUUAUUGAAGACUAACUACUGCGAAAGCAUUUGCCAAGGAUGUUUUCAUUAAUCAAGAACGAAAGUUAGGGGAUCGAAGACGAUCAGAUACCGUCGUAGUCUUAACCAUAAACUAUGCCGACUAGGGAUCGGAUGAUGUUAAUUUUAUAAUGACUCA